CACUGCCGAGAAAAGCCUCUAGAUAGAAAAUAGGUGCCCGUACCGCAAACCGACACAGGUAGUCAAGAUGAGAAUUCUAAGGUGAGCGAGCGAACUCUCGUUAAGGAACUCGGCAAAAUGACCCCGUAACUUCGGGAGAAGGGGUGCUCUUUAGGGUUAACGCCCAGAAGAGCCGCAGUGAAUAGGCCCAAGCGACUGUUUAUCAAAAACACAGGUCUCUGCUAAACCGUAAGGUGAUGUAUAGGGGCUGACGCCUGCCCGGUGCUGGAAGGUUAAGAGGAGUGGUUAGCUUCUGCGAAGCUACGAAUCGAAGCCCCAGUAAACGGCGGCCGUAACUAUAACGGUCCUAAGGUAGCGAAAUUCCUUGUCGGGUAAGUUCCGACCCGCACGAAAGGCGUAACGAUUUGGGCACUGUCUCAACGAGAGACUCGGUGAAAUCAUAGUACCUGUGAAGAUGCAGGUUACCCGCGACAGGACGGAAAGACCCCGUGGAGCUUUACUGUAGCCUGAUAUUGAAAUUCGGCACAGCUUGUACAGGAUAGGUAGGAGCCUUUGAAACGUGAGCGCUAGCUUACGUGGAGGCGCUGGUGGGAUACUACCCUAGCUGUGUUGGCUUUCUAACCCGCACCACUUAUCGUGGUGGGAGACAGUGUCAGGCGGGCAGUUUGACUGGGGCGGUCGC
This 682-nucleotide ribosomal RNA is filed under the name Klebsiella aerogenes. Its description in RNAcentral is "partial 23S ribosomal RNA". It matches the Rfam family "Bacterial large subunit ribosomal RNA", at positions 1603 to 2286 of the family's 2925-position model. The record is from RNAcentral. Lineage: Bacteria; Pseudomonadati; Pseudomonadota; Gammaproteobacteria; Enterobacterales; Enterobacteriaceae. RNAcentral also lists the same sequence under 1 other name.